AUACGGAGGGUGCGAGCGUUAUCCGGAUUUAUUGGGUUUAAAGGGUCCGUAGGCGGACUCGUAAGUCAGUGGUGAAAUCUCACAGCUUAACUGUGAAACUGCCGUUGAUACUGCGGGUCUUGAGUAAGGUAGAAGUGGCUGGAAUAAGUAGUGUAGCGGUGAAAUGCAUAGAUAUUACUUAGAACACCAAUUGCGAAGGCAGGUCACUAUGUCUUAACUGACGCUGAUGGACGAAAGCGUGGGGAGCGAACAGGAUUAGAUACCCUGGUAGUCCACGCCGUAAACGAUGCUAACUCGUUUUUGGGGCUUUGGCUUCAGAGACUAAGCGAAAGUGAUAAGUUAGCCACCUGGGGAGUACGUUCGCAAGAAUGAA
This 373-nucleotide ribosomal RNA is filed under the name uncultured bacterium. RNAcentral's name for it is "bacterial SSU rRNA". It matches the Rfam family "Bacterial small subunit ribosomal RNA", at positions 523 to 898 of the family's 1533-position model. The record is from RNAcentral.